AUACGGGGGGUGCAAGCGUUAAUCGGAAUUACUGGGCGUAAAGCGCGCGUAGGCGGCUUUGUAAGUCGGAUGUGAAAGCCCUGGGCUCAACCUGGGAACUGCAUUCGAUACUGGCAGACUAGAGUAUAGUAGAGGCAAGUGGAAUUCCGGGUGUAGCGGUGAAAUGCGUAGAUAUCCGGAGGAACAUCAGUGGCGAAGGCGACUUGCUGGACUAAUACUGACGCUGAGGAGCGAAAGCGUGGGGAGCAAACGGGAUUAGAUACCCCGGUAGUCC
RNAcentral lists this ribosomal RNA (274 nucleotides) under uncultured bacterium. RNAcentral describes it as "partial 16S ribosomal RNA". It matches the Rfam family "Bacterial small subunit ribosomal RNA", at positions 523 to 796 of the family's 1533-position model. The record is from RNAcentral.